CAGGAAGUGCUUUAGUCAGGGAGAAGGGUAUGGAGGGUUAGUUUCUAUCCUCUGGCUGUUUAGCACAGAGGUUUUAGUAGGAGUGGUCAGUGAAAAGAGGAAUCUGCAUUCCUUCCAAGAUUCACUGACACAAACAUGGAGUCAACGGCUGCAGGGAAAAAGUCAGAACACCCACCCAAAAUGAUAAAGAUGAAACACAGAAUCCCAGGCCACCUGGUACUCAACCUGCCAGAUAGCGAUGCACGGCUUGCUGGGCGACAGCUUCAUCUCCUGCUGAAACAAUGCAGCCCCUUCUGUGCCUGUCUCACUUAGCGCUGUCACUGCAGCCAUUAUGAAAUUGGGGUUUCAUUUACACACUAAUUAAACAUUAC
This is a long non-coding RNA of Sphaerodactylus townsendi, 371 nucleotides long. RefSeq lists it as uncharacterized. The record is from RefSeq and is a predicted model, not a curated record. NCBI's taxonomy places the organism in Eukaryota, Metazoa, Chordata, Lepidosauria, Squamata, Sphaerodactylidae. The transcript is spliced from 3 exons.